This 253-nucleotide ribosomal RNA is filed under the name uncultured bacterium. Its description in RNAcentral is "partial 16S ribosomal RNA". It matches the Rfam family "Bacterial small subunit ribosomal RNA", at positions 524 to 776 of the family's 1533-position model. The record is from RNAcentral.
GACAGAGGGUGCAAACGUUGUUCGGAAUUACUGGGCGUAAAGCGCGUGUAGGCGGCUCUGCAAGUCGGAUGUGAAAUCCCACGGCUCAACCAUGGAAGUGCAUUCGAAACUGCAGGGCUAGAGUCCUGGAGAGGAAGGUGGAAUGCUUGGUGUAGAGGUGAAAUUCGUAGAUAUCAAGCGGAACACCGGUGGCGAAGGCGGCCUUCUGGACAGUGACUGACGCUGAGACGUGAAAGCGUGGGGAGCAAACAGG